Propithecus coquereli (Coquerel's sifaka) is the source of this 995-nucleotide long non-coding RNA. RefSeq lists it as uncharacterized. The record is from RefSeq and is a predicted model, not a curated record. NCBI's taxonomy places the organism in Eukaryota, Metazoa, Chordata, Mammalia, Primates, Indriidae. The transcript has 4 exons.
AGCCUGCACUUCCUUCUGGAGCACACACACUGUUCACACCAGUUCCUGGGAGCAUCUGUGCCUGUCCCUCCAAUCUGUCACGUGGCUGCCUCCUGACACCUAGAAGCUGAAGAAUGAAGAAGACACAGAGUUGGUUUUCAGUGAGACUUGAGAGGGUGAAGGGGAAGUUUUCCCCUGGUCCCUACGGCUUUGGCGCUGUAAGCUGAACAACCGAAUCCACUCUGCUCUUCUGGAAGCAGCAGCCCAGGGAUCCCGGGACCGGAUAAGCUGGACGCUCCGUCUCUCUUUGUGGAAUCCAGUCUAGCAGAUGAGUUGAGAAAACUUUCUUAAAGCUAUUUUAUAGCUUUACAACAAUUCGGUAAAGUAUACUUCUGUGAGCAAAACUGAAACAUUUACCUUUCUCCUUACUUGGUCCCUCCAAAAUCCAGAAACUAAUUGUGAGUAUUCUCAUUUUAUGGCAAUAUAGUUAUUUGCAUAAGUUCAAAAAGAAUCUGUUCUCUUUUGUAAUGGAGAACAAUUGGAGACACUGGUUAUUUUACCAAGACUUUGUAUGGAUUGUCUUAUUAUCACAUAUGACCAGACAGCUUUAAGGAACUGAGGUUAACAUUAUGAAGCCAAUAUAAGCCCUUGGAAAGACUGGCCUGAUACCUUAAAUAUAUGGGUCACAUGGUUGCCUGUGACAAGCAAAGAAUGUCACUUUAUAAUAGGCCUGGGAACCUCAGGAUAUUUUGAGGACCUCAAGAAGAGAGGAAUUCCUCCAACUGAUGCAGAUAUUACAGACACAAUCUGUGGAUAGUCAAAUCCUUGGCCUGGCUGUCUAGCCUUUAGAUGUUUUUAAAAGUCUAAUCUGAGGUUUCUUAUGAAAAGUUCCAGCAAAGCCAAUUUAAAACAAUCUAUAUGAUAAAUCACUAUUCCUAGUGCUCUUUAUGCAAAUAGUCAGGCCAAGUUAAUGAAAGUAAACUUAUUUUACAAACAAAUUAGUCUUGUCAUAAAUA